GACGAACGCUGGCGGCGUGCUUAACACAUGCAAGUCGAACGGAAAGGCCCUGCUUUUGUGGGGUGCUCGAGUGGCGAACGGGUGAGUAACACGUGAGUAACCUGCCCUUGACUUUGGGAUAACUUCAGGAAACUGGGGCUAAUACCGGCUAGGAGCUCCUGCUGCAUGGUGGGGGUUGGAAAGUUUCGGCGGUUGGGGAUGGACUCGCGGCUUAUCAGCUUGUUGGUGGGGUAGUGGAUUACCAAGGCUUUGACGGGUAGCCGGCCUGGGAGGGUGACCGGCCACGUUGGGACUGAGAUACGGCCCAGACUCCUACGGGAGGCAGCAGUGGGGAAUAUUGUACAAUGGGCGGAAGCCUGAUGCAGCAACGCCGCGUGCGGGAUGACGGCCUUCGGGUUGUAAACCGCUUUCGCCUGUGACGAAGCGUGAGUGACGGUAAUGGGUAAAGAGGCACCGGCUAACUACGUG
RNAcentral lists this ribosomal RNA (468 nucleotides) under uncultured bacterium. Its description in RNAcentral is "partial 16S ribosomal RNA". It matches the Rfam family "Bacterial small subunit ribosomal RNA", at positions 28 to 507 of the family's 1533-position model. The record is from RNAcentral.